AUGGGCGAUGAGGGGCUAGGUUACAACUUCCCGUGCUCCUUGUUAUCUAGCAGCAACAGGGGACGCUCGACAAUUACAUCUUUAUCCAUUGCUGGUUGCGGUCUCCAUUCCCUUGACAGGGUUGGCUGCUUGAUAAGCUUGUGUGUAGUGCAUCUGCACAGGAUGCGUGUUACUGGAGAGCAACUUAUCUGCUUCCUGUCUACUUGUCCUAGUUUGCAGGAUCUGCAACUUUCCUACUGCAAUGACAUGGUUUGCCUGAAGAUACCUCAUUCCCUGUCGCGGCUCAAAUUGCUACUGGUACGCAACUGCAACAGUUUGCAAACGAUUGGAUGCGAUGCUCCACAACUCAAGAGCUUUGGAUAUGAUGGGUUGCCCACAACGCAGAUCUGCCUUGGAGAUUCAUCACCCUUAGUGAGGGAGAUGAGAAUGUCUGGUAUGGAUGAUGAGCCUACAGGCAUGCUCUGUUAUGCCACCACUAAGCUUCCUUCAGUCGCACCAAAUAUUAGCUCGCUUGUCUUAUCAUCAUGCUUUGAGAUUGCGACUCCAAUGAAAAAGCUUAACAAAUUCCGCCGCCUCAAGUACUUGGAGAUACAGCUUCAUACGCCAAGACGUUGUCCAGACUUUGAUUUUUAUUCCCUGGUUUCUAUUCUUAAUGCUUGUCCUGUCCUGGCUACUUUCAUCUUGCGUUUAGAGAUGCGCGAUGCUGAUGAUGCCAUUCCGGGAGAUCCUGAUGGUGAUUCCUCACCACGAAAAACGCAUAUGAGGGGGCAGGGCCAUCGCAAGUUGAAGAAUGUGCUAAUGAGGGGAUUUCCUUCUGCAAAAGGUUUGGUUGAGCUAACAAGUCACAUCCUUGAGACCGCAGCAUCCUUAAAGCGCCUGGUACUGGACACUGCAUAUGGCUGCCAUACGAGGGAUUGCAUUGGCAUAUGCUCGCCUUUAACGAGAAAGGCCCUCUUGGAAGCACAGAAAGCUGUAGAUGUCAUCAAGACAUACAUCGAGGGUAAAGUCCCCUCAAGUGUUAAAUUCAGGCUUAUCGAGCCAUGUGCCAAGUGUCACGCCGACGACGCAUAA
RNAcentral lists this ribosomal RNA (1071 nucleotides) under Triticum aestivum (bread wheat). Its description in RNAcentral is "partial small subunit ribosomal RNA". Lineage: Eukaryota; Viridiplantae; Streptophyta; Magnoliopsida; Poales; Poaceae. The record is from RNAcentral.